RNAcentral lists this unclassified non-coding RNA (309 nucleotides) under Orbiliaceae sp. RNAcentral's name for it is "partial contains 5.8S ribosomal RNA, internal transcribed spacer 2, and large subunit ribosomal RNA". Lineage: Eukaryota; Fungi; Ascomycota; Orbiliomycetes; Orbiliales; Orbiliaceae. The record is from RNAcentral.
CGCACAUUGCGCCUUCUGGUAUUCCGGUAGGCAUGUCUGUUUGAGCGUCAGCAAACACCCUCAGCCGAGUUCUUUUUGUUCUCACGCUGGUCUUGGGCUUUGGAGGCUGGCUGGUCUGUUGAGGACCUGCCUGCGCCUGCCCUAAACUUGCUGCACGACCGUAGGCUAUUGGCUGGGUCAAUGGAGUGGUGUUUUCAAUCUUCCAUCAAACCCUCGCUGGAGUCCUGCGGCGUUAAGCCUGAUGUCCCGCGCUCUGCGCCCGACUGAAAUCUUGACCUCAGAUCAGAUAAGGAUACCCGCUGAACUUAA